Molecule: ribosomal RNA, 420 nt
Filed under: uncultured bacterium
Lineage: Bacteria
Description: bacterial SSU rRNA
Rfam family: Bacterial small subunit ribosomal RNA
Source: RNAcentral
AACAUGCAAGUCAACGAUCUGUAGCAAUACAGGGAGUGGCGGACGGGUGAGGAACACGUAGGAAUCUACCUUGAAGAGCGGGACAACUUUGGGAAACCGGGGCUAAUACCGCAUAGUACAGAGAUGUUAAAGGGCUAGCAAUAGUCGCUUCGAGAUGAGCCUGCGGUCUAUCAGCUUGUUGGUGAGGUAAUGGCUCACCAAGGCUACGACGGAUAGCCGGUCUGAGAGGAUGAUCGGCCACACUGGCACUGAGACACGGGCCAGACUCCUACGGGAGGCAGCAGUUAAGAAUCUUGCGCAAUGGGCGAAAGCCUGACGCAGCAACGCCGCGUGCGGGAUGACGGCCUUCGUGGUUGUAAACCGCUUUCAGCAGGGACGAAAAUGACGGUACCUGCAGAAGAAGCCCCGGCUAACUACGUG